GCGACCCCAGGACGGGCGAGGCCACCCGCCGAGUUUAAGCAUAUCAAUAAGCGGAGGAGGAG
RNAcentral lists this ribosomal RNA (62 nucleotides) under Maxillaria acicularis. RNAcentral describes it as "partial 26S ribosomal RNA". Lineage: Eukaryota; Viridiplantae; Streptophyta; Magnoliopsida; Asparagales; Orchidaceae. The record is from RNAcentral.